RNAcentral lists this long non-coding RNA (1364 nucleotides) under Homo sapiens (human). Its description in RNAcentral is "non-protein coding lnc-TNK2-2:10". Lineage: Eukaryota; Metazoa; Chordata; Mammalia; Primates; Hominidae. The record is from RNAcentral.
AGUUUGAGGGUCUUGCAGCUGCAAACCUGGAGAGGAGCUGAUGUUCUAGAUUGAGGGUCAUGCAGCUGAAGACUCGGGGAGGAGCUGAUGUUCUAGAUUAAGGGUCAUGCAGCUGAAGACUCAGGGAGGAGCUGAGGUUCUAGUUUGAGGGUCAUGCAGCUGAAGACUCGGGAGGAGCUGAGAUUCUAGUUUGAGGGUCAUGCAGCAGAAGGCUCAGGGAGGAGCUGAUGUUCUAGAUUGAGGGCCCUACAGCUGCACACCUGAAGAGGAGUUGAUGUUCGAGAUUGAGGGUCGUGCAGCUGAAUACUCAGAGAGGAGCUGAUGUUAUAGUUUGAGGGCCCUACAGCUGAAGACCCGGAGAGUAUCUGAUCUUCGAGAUUGAGGGUCGUGCAGCUGAAGACUCCAGGAGGAGCUAAGGUGGUAAUUUGAGGGUCUUGCAGCUGCUGACUUGGGGAGGAGCUGAUGUUCUAGUUUGAGGGCCCUACAGUUGGAAAUCUGUACAGGAGCUGAUGUUCUAGUUUGAGGGUCGUGCAGGUGAAGACUCGGGGAGGAGCUGAUAUUCUAGUUUGAGGGCCGUGCAGCUAGAGAUGCAGACAGGAGCUGAUGUUGUAGUUUGAGGGUCGUACAGCUGAAGAUUCAGGGAGGAGCUGCUGAUGUAUUUUUAGGGUCAUGGAGCUGCAGACCCGGAGAGGAGCUGAUGUUGUAGUUUGAGGGUCGUGCAGCUGGAGAACCAGACAGGAGCUGAUGUUGUAGAUUGAGCGUCGUGCAGCUGAAGACUCGGGGAGGAGCUGAUGUUGUUUGUUUUGAGGGUCUUUCAGCUGGAGACUCAGGGAGGAGCUGACGUUCUAGAUUGAGGGUCUUGCAGCUGCAGACCCGGAGAGGAACUGAUGUUCUAGAUUGAGGGUCACGCAGCUGAAGACUUGGGGAGAAGCUGAUGUUCUAACUUGAGGGUCGUGCAGCUGAGGACUCGGGGAGGAGCUGAUGUUGACGGCUGUGCAGGUGGAGAUCCGGCGGGGAGCUGAUGUUCUGGUUUGAGGGCCGGGGAGCUGAUGUUCCAGUUUGAUGGCCGUGCACCUGGAGACCCAGGGAGGAACAUCAAACUGGAACAUCUGCUCCCCGCAGUGCCUCCAGCUGCAUGGCUCCCAAACUGGAACAUUGGUUCCCACCCGGGUCUCCAGCUGCACGGCCCUCAAACUGCAACAUCGGCUACCCCCGAGUCUCCAGCUGCGCGGCCCUCAAACUGGAACAUCAGCUCCCCACCGGGUCUCCAGCUUCACGGCCCUCAAACUGGAACUUCAGCUCCCCACCGGGUCUCCAGCUUCACGGCCCUCAAACUGGAACUUCAGCUCCCCACCGGGUAUCCA